AAACGUGCUUUCCCUAUUCACUAAUACACGCUAACUGGUUUGAAUUUCUGGAAUUCAAUAAGAAUCUUUGAACUGUUACAAUGGACCACAAUUUUCUUGAUCGUGAUUACAGUUCGUGCCGUUUAACCAAUUUAUCAUAAAAAAGUCAUGACAGCGAUUGUGGCUGCAACUGCAGGGGACGGUAAUAAAAAACAAACAUUGAAAUGUUGCACCUGGUCACAAUGUCAAGCACAUCAUCUGGAACAUUGCACUAGGGCUGCUUUCGUGAUAAUGGUGGAUGACAGAGAGGGCUAGAUGGUCUUGGAGUUGAGCAGUUCAAAAUUAAACCAGCCCUACCCCACACCCUGGGGCCUUUGAUGAAUUUGAAUUAGUGUAGGGAAGCCUUCUGUCACUUUUAGGACUAAUUAAGAUAUCAUGCCAUAGAAUUUCAUACACAUCAAGUUAUACUGGUAACUUCUAUUUUUCCUUUGUCUUUUCCUUGGAUGAAGAUGGUGAUGUUUUAGGGUGGUUUCUGAUCAUGAUGGUGGGGUUAAUUAGGAUCAACCCAGGAGAAACCAUAUCCACAUAUAAGGGUGGGAGUUGAGUGAUGAUAUCAUAGACUUAUAGCCACGAUGUUCAUCGUGCCAUGUGAAUGUACAGUGGUGGUGCUAUUUGUGAUUUGUAUUUUCUAAUAAUAAUGAGAUGAUGCCAAAUAUGUAUCAUAGUGACAAUGAAUCCUGAAUUUCAAUUUCUGGUAUUGGAUGCUUGAAUUCGAUUUUGCUACUCCUAUAUGUGCUACUGUAUCUCUUACAACCAUUUCUGAUAAUCAAGUCCUUUUCGACCUGCCUGGCCUUUAAUGGUUGUCCUUUUGGCACUUUUGUAUUGCAAUCAAAUCAGUUAUUUAUUGGUGCAUUCCUUUUC
Long non-coding RNA from Quercus lobata, 900 nucleotides. RefSeq lists it as uncharacterized. NCBI's taxonomy places the organism in Eukaryota, Viridiplantae, Streptophyta, Magnoliopsida, Fagales, Fagaceae. The transcript has 4 exons. The record is from RefSeq and is a predicted model, not a curated record.